Molecule: ribosomal RNA, 1376 nt
Filed under: Lactobacillus sp. PCH6-3
Lineage: Bacteria; Bacillati; Bacillota; Bacilli; Lactobacillales; Lactobacillaceae
Description: bacterial SSU rRNA
Rfam family: Bacterial small subunit ribosomal RNA
Source: RNAcentral
CUGAUUGAUGGUGCUUGCACCUGAUUGACGAUGGAUCACCAGUGAGUGGCGGACGGGUGAGUAACACGUAGGUAACCUGCCCCGGAGCGGGGGAUAACAUUUGGAAACAGAUGCUAAUACCGCAUAACAACAAAAGCCACAUGGCUUUUGUUUGAAAGAUGGCUUUGGCUAUCACUCUGGGAUGGACCUGCGGUGCAUUAGCUAGUUGGUAAGGUAACGGCUUACCAAGGCGAUGAUGCAUAGCCGAGUUGAGAGACUGAUCGGCCACAAUGGAACUGAGACACGGUCCAUACUCCUACGGGAGGCAGCAGUAGGGAAUCUUCCACAAUGGGCGCAAGCCUGAUGGAGCAACACCGCGUGAGUGAAGAAGGGUUUCGGCUCGUAAAGCUCUGUUGUUGGAGAAGAACGUGCGUGAGAGUAACUGUUCACGCAGUGACGGUAUCCAACCAGAAAGUCACGGCUAACUACGUGCCAGCAGCCGCGGUAAUACGUAGGUGGCAAGCGUUAUCCGGAUUUAUUGGGCGUAAAGCGAGCGCAGGCGGUUGCUUAGGUCUGAUGUGAAAGCCUUCGGCUUAACCGAAGAAGUGCAUCGGAAACCGGGCGACUUGAGUGCAGAAGAGGACAGUGGAACUCCAUGUGUAGCGGUGGAAUGCGUAGAUAUAUGGAAGAACACCAGUGGCGAAGGCGGCUGUCUGGUCUGCAACUGACGCUGAGGCUCGAAAGCAUGGGUAGCGAACAGGAUUAGAUACCCUGGUAGUCCAUGCCGUAAACGAUGAGUGCUAGGUGUUGGAGGGUUUCCGCCCUUCAGUGCCGGAGCUAACGCAUUAAGCACUCCGCCUGGGGAGUACGACCGCAAGGUUGAAACUCAAAGGAAUUGACGGGGGCCCGCACAAGCGGUGGAGCAUGUGGUUUAAUUCGAAGCUACGCGAAGAACCUUACCAGGUCUUGACAUCUUGCGCUAACCUUAGAGAUAAGGCGUUCCCUUCGGGGACGCAAUGACAGGUGGUGCAUGGUCGUCGUCAGCUCGUGUCGUGAGAUGUUGGGUUAAGUCCCGCAACGAGCGCAACCCUUGUUACUAGUUGCCAGCAUUAAGUUGGGCACUCUAGUGAGACUGCCGGUGACAAACCGGAGGAAGGUGGGGACGACGUCAGAUCAUCAUGCCCCUUAUGACCUGGGCUACACACGUGCUACAAUGGACGGUACAACGAGUCGCAAGCUCGCGAGAGUAAGCUAAUCUCUUAAAGCCGUUCUCAGUUCGGACUGUAGGCUGCAACUCGCCUACACGAAGUCGGAAUCGCUAGUAAUCGCGGAUCAGCAUGCCGCGGUGAAUACGUUCCCGGGCCUUGUACACACCGCCCGUCACACCAUGGGAGUUU